AAACAUGUCUUUAAGAUAAUAAUUUAAAGUCGAAUCUGCUCCAUGAUUGAAAAAUUAAAUAGCUGCAGAAUAUUAACUGUACAAAGGUAGCAUAAUCAAUAGUUUUUUAAUUGAAAGCUAGAAUGAAUGAUUUAAUAAGGUAAAAAUUGUCUCAAAUUUAAUGAAAUUAAAAUUUUUUUUUAAGUAAAAAUACUUAAAUAAAUUUAAAAGACGAGAAGACCCUAUAGAUUUUAAUAUUUUAAAUUAAAUAAUAUUUAAAAAGUUUUAAGUAAUAAAUUUUAAUUAAAAAAUAUUUAAUUGGGGAAAUUAUUAAAUUUAAAAAAUUUUAAUUUUUAAAAAACAAAAAUUAUUGAAUUAAAGAUUUUAAUUAUUUAAAUUAAAAGAAUAAAAUACCUUAGGGAUAACAGCGUAAUUUUUUUUGAGAGAUCUAAUUGAUAAAAAAGUUUGCGACCUCGAUGUUGAAUUAAGAUAAAAAUUUUAGUGAAGAAGUUAAAAAUUUUUGGUCUGUUCGACCAUUAAAAUCUUACGUGAUCUGA
RNAcentral lists this ribosomal RNA (536 nucleotides) under Ceratomansa prima. RNAcentral's name for it is "partial 16S large subunit ribosomal RNA". The stretch from base 400 to 536 matches the Rfam family "Archaeal large subunit ribosomal RNA", at positions 2544 to 2679 of the family's 2987-position model. Lineage: Eukaryota; Metazoa; Arthropoda; Insecta; Hymenoptera; Ichneumonidae. The record is from RNAcentral.